RNAcentral lists this long non-coding RNA (333 nucleotides) under Lathyrus oleraceus (garden pea). Its description in RNAcentral is "Pisum sativum (pea) long non-coding RNA (PSAT_LNC012388)". Lineage: Eukaryota; Viridiplantae; Streptophyta; Magnoliopsida; Fabales; Fabaceae. The record is from RNAcentral.
GAAAAACUAGAGGUUCAGGCCCAGAGUUCGUGUUCCUACCCUCAUAACAAUGUUCAAUCUUUUAAUCAAGAGGUUUUUCUUUUGGGCACCGUUCUUGUUAGGAUUCAUUGGCUCUUAUUUUUCUCUUAUUUUUUAUGGCUCUUUUGAGCACACUUUUUUCCAACCUCAAUACUUCUAGAUAAGUGCUUCAUGAUACUUCUCAUAAUUUUUUCAUUUCUCUUUUUUUUUUUUUCUGAAGUUUUGUCCUUUUCUAUUUUUUCUGCACUUAUCUAAUCUUCAUCAGUGUCCCUAAAAAAUGAAGAAACCCCAAACUUAGGAUUUUCCACAGAUCCG